GCUGGUGUCUUAGCUAAAUUGGCACAACACCAAUCCAUCUCGAACUUGGUUGUUAAACAAUUUAGGGGUAACAAUACUUAGGGGGUAACCCCUCGGGAAGAUAGCCUGAUGCCAGC
RNAcentral lists this ribosomal RNA (116 nucleotides) under Sykidion marinum. Lineage: Eukaryota; Viridiplantae; Chlorophyta; Ulvophyceae; Sykidiales; Sykidiacaeae. The record is from RNAcentral.